UUCGUAGGUGACCUGCGGAAGGAUCAUUACUGAAUUGUCAACAAGAGUUGUUGCUGGUCCCCAAAUGGGGACACGUGCACGCUCUGUUAACACAUCCACUCACACCCUGUGCACCCUCUGUAGUUCUAUGGUUGGGGGGGGACCUGUCCUCUCCUGCUGUGGUUCUGCAUCUUUACAUACACACUGUAACAAAGUCUCAUGGAAUGCAUGCCGCGUUUAACGCAAUAAAAUACAACUUUCAGCAACGGAUCUCUUGGCUCUCGCAUCGAUGAAGAACGCAGCGAAAUGCGAUAAGUAAUGUGAAUUGCAGAAUUCAGUGAAUCAUCGAAUCUUUGAACGCACCUUGCGCCCUUUGGCAUUCCGAAGGGCAUGCCUGUUUGAGUAUCAUGAACACCUCAACUCUUCAUGGUUUUCCAUGAUGAGCUUGGACUUUGGGGGUCUUGCUGGCCUGCGGUCAGCUCCUCUCAAAUGAAUCAGCUUACCAGUGUUUGGUGGGCAUCACAGGUGUGAUAACUAUCUGCGCUUGUGGUUUUCCACCAAGUAACCUUCAGCAGUGGAGGUUCACUGGAGCUCACAGACGUCUCUCCUCAGUGAGGACAGCCCUUUGAAUGUUUGAUCUCAAAUCAGGUAGGACUACCCGCUGAACUUAAGCAUAUCAAUAAGCGGAGGAAAAGAAACUAACAAGGAUUCCCCUAGUAACUGCGAGUGAAGCGGGAAGAGCUCAAAUUUAAAAUCUGGCGUGCCUCUGGUCGUCCGA
This 757-nucleotide ribosomal RNA is filed under the name uncultured Tomentella. RNAcentral's name for it is "eukaryotic LSU rRNA". The stretch from base 234 to 387 matches the Rfam family "5.8S ribosomal RNA". The record is from RNAcentral. Lineage: Eukaryota; Fungi; Basidiomycota; Agaricomycetes; Thelephorales; Thelephoraceae.